UUAAAUUUUCCAGCUCUUAGCACAGCAGGUCUUGAAUAACAUCGUUUCAUUCAAUGUUGUUUUGUUAUAACCUUGAUGAGAAAAAAAAUCAAUUCCCAGCUGGGGCCACUGUCUGUGGAGUUUGCACGUUCUCCCCAUUUCUAUGUGGAUUUUCUCCAGGUACUCCAAUUUCCUCCCACAUUCCAAAGACAUGUGCAUCAGGUUCAUUUAGCAUGUCCACAUGGCCACUGUGUGAGUGAGCAUAGGUGUGUGAGUGCACCUCGUGACGGAAUGGCAUCCUGUCCAAGGCUGGUUUCCGCCCGGCACCCUGAGAUGCCAGCAUGGGCUCUAGCCACCAGGACCCUGAACUGGAAUAAGUGGCACAUUAAAUCACUGUCUUCUCUGAUUCUGGAUCUGAAGGUUUCUCUCUGAGAAUGAAGUCUGCAAUCUGUCACAUCAGAACAGGAAGAGAGGAUUUGAGGGAGAACCCCUUCUCAGAUCUCCAGAGUGUGGAAGGGACGUUUUGGUGCUGGCUAUGGCUUUGUGACACUGCAGUUGAAACGGGCAAAGUGGGCUCCUCACUUGAAGAACUUUGAUGCCUCUAAAUGCUCUGAUGAGAAAAAACUUGUCCUCAAAAUCGAUGGUACUUUCUUGAAGAAAUGAAACGCUCCAGCACAUGAGGCACUGUUAAAUGACCAGCUGUGUAACCUCGAAUGCAUCAUGUAAUUGCCCUCCAUUCACUUAAGGUUCUAUAAAAUGGCCUCAUCCCUUGCCCCCAGCUGAGGCAGGAUGCUGAGACGUACUGGGGGAAUGCUUCUCAAUACUUCUCAACACAGUAUUGGGAGAAUAUUUUUCAAUGGGAAGAGGAGGGUUUUUAAGGCACUAAAUGGUAUUAUGUGAAAAAGAUUCAGAAUUAUUAUCACUGUGAAGCAGAGGAUGACUUUUUUAAAACAUAGAUUUUCAUUGUUGGUGGAACACUACAAAAUCUUGUUCAGUGUCAUCAUUUACAGUUGUUCUACAGAGGUUAAGGGACAUGCCCAAGAUCUCACAACUGUGCACUAAAUGAGAUAAUAUACCUAACUGUUUAGCACAGUGCCAGUGCAUAAUAAGCAGUCAAUAAACGUCAGUUGCUGUUGCAACUGCUGAUGUUGUUUUUACUAUGAUUCAGGUCUCCUCACUCCCAGUUCAGUGCUGUUAUUAUCAAAUACAAAAAGAAACUACAGGAAGGUAGCUUUAUGAGCCCAAGCAAUUUCUUACCAUAAGGAAAAUUAUUUCUUUCAUAAUUGAGAAAGUGCAAGCCGAGAGAAGGUAAGUGCUAUGCCUUGGCACAUAAUUCCCAGGAUGCUAACAUCACACUGAAGACUAAUUCAGGGGCUUGACUGGAGGAGGAGAGGCUACUCCUUUUUCCUAAUCCUUCAGCUCUCAGUGAGCGAUAGCACAGAGAACCUGCAUGUUGUGGACCAGAGACUGAAUCCAGUCUACAGCAACCCUGUCCUCAGCACCGGAGAUUGAAUCUAGGCUAUAGCAACUCAGCCCACAGCCUGUAGGAAAGAGCAAUGUCCUGAAAAUGCAAAAUGACACUGGCAUGGAGAAAGGAGAAACUGUCCAGCAGAUGAAGCUGGGAAAGAGGUGUGGUCAAAUGGGAAAAAAACAAAAAUGAAAGACAAAAAUCAGAUUCCUACUCACACUAUAUAUAAAACAUAAACUCUGUAGAUAAAGGAUUUAUGUAUCAAAACUAAAAUUAUAGAAUUCUUAGUAAAAAUAAUGAACAUCUUUUAGACUUCAGGACUGAGAAAGAUUUCUUAAGGCACACACAAAAAUUUGACUAAAAAAACAUUGAUUUGAUUGUGUUAAAAUUAAGAACUUUUGCUCAUGAAAAUGCAUCUUAAAUAAAAAGACAAGGUAUAAACUGGGAGAAGAUAUUCACAAUACAUAAAAUCAGCAAAAGAUAAG
RNAcentral lists this long non-coding RNA (1932 nucleotides) under Homo sapiens (human). RNAcentral's name for it is "HSALNT0097533". The record is from RNAcentral. Lineage: Eukaryota; Metazoa; Chordata; Mammalia; Primates; Hominidae.